This 263-nucleotide unclassified non-coding RNA is filed under the name plant metagenome. Its description in RNAcentral is "partial contains small subunit ribosomal RNA, internal transcribed spacer 1, and 5.8S ribosomal RNA". The record is from RNAcentral.
GUACCGUAGGUGAACCUGCGGAAGGAUCAUUAUUGUAUAACCGAGGUGCGAGGGCUGUCGCUGACCCGAAAGGUCGUGCACGCCCGAGUGCCCUCACACACAUCCAUCUCACCCCUAUGUGCACCACCGCGUGGGUCCCCCUUUGGCUUGUUCGGAGGGGGGCUUACGUUUUCACACAAACUUUGUAUGCAGUGUAGAAUGUAUUUUUUGUUUUUGCGAUCACGCAAUCAAUACAACUUUCAACAACGGAUCUCUUGGCUCUC